GAUGAACGCUAGCGGCAGGCCUAAUACAUGCAAGUCGAACGAUAGAAGAGGGCUUGCUCUCUUCGAAAGUGGCGCACGGGUGCGUAACGCGUAUGCAACCUACCUUAAUCAGGGGGAUAGCCCGAAGAAAUUCGGAUUAACACCGCAUAAAAUCACAGUACAGCAUUGUACAAUGAUCAAAUAUUUAUAGGAUUAAGAUGGGCAUGCGUGACAUUAGCUAGUUGGCGGGGUAACGGCCCACCAAGGCGACGAUGUCUAGGGGAUCUGAGAGGAUGACCCCCCACACUGGUACUGAGACACGGACCAGACUCCUACGGGAGGCAGCAGUAAGGAAUAUUGGUCAAUGGAGGCAACUCUGAACCAGCCAUGCCGCGUGCAGGAAGACGGCCCUCUGGGUUGUAAACUGCUCUUAUUCGGGAAUAAACCUCAUUAUGUAUAGUGAGCUGAAUGUACCGAAGGAGUAAGGAUCGGCUAACUCCGUGCCAGCAGCCGCCGUAA
RNAcentral lists this ribosomal RNA (498 nucleotides) under uncultured bacterium. RNAcentral's name for it is "partial 16S ribosomal RNA". It matches the Rfam family "Bacterial small subunit ribosomal RNA", at positions 28 to 523 of the family's 1533-position model. The record is from RNAcentral.